CCCAGACUCCUACGGGAGGCAGCAGUGGGGAAUAUUGCGCAAUGGGCGAAAGCCUGACGCAGCGACGCUGCGUGAGGGAUGAAGGUCUUCGGAUCGUAAACCUCUGUCAGCAGGGAAGAACGGUCACUGUGCUAAUCAGCAGUGAAUUGACGGUACCUGCAAAGGAAGCACCGGCUAACUCCGUGCCAGCAGCCGCGGUAAUACGGAGGAUGCGAGCGUUAUCCGGAUUUAUUGGGUUUAAAGGGUGCGUAGGCGGGGAUGCAAGUUGGGUGUUAAAUCUGCCGGCUCAACUGGUAGUCGCACUCAAAACUGCAGCUCUUGAGUGAAGUAGAGGCAGGCGGAAUUCCUAGUGUAGCGGUGAAAUGCGUAGAUAUCAGGAGGAACACCGGUGGCGAAGGCGGCCUGCUGGACUGCGACUGACGUUGAGGCCCGAAAGCGUGGGGAGCAAACAGGAUUAGAUACCCCAGUACU
RNAcentral lists this ribosomal RNA (471 nucleotides) under uncultured bacterium. Its description in RNAcentral is "partial 16S ribosomal RNA". It matches the Rfam family "Bacterial small subunit ribosomal RNA", at positions 330 to 794 of the family's 1533-position model. The record is from RNAcentral.